RNAcentral lists this ribosomal RNA (435 nucleotides) under uncultured bacterium. RNAcentral's name for it is "partial 16S ribosomal RNA". It matches the Rfam family "Bacterial small subunit ribosomal RNA", at positions 28 to 507 of the family's 1533-position model. The record is from RNAcentral.
GAUGAACGCUGGCGGUAUGCUUAACACAUGCAAGUCGAACGGACUCUUCGGAGUUAGUGGCGGACGGGUGAGUAACGCGUGAGAAUCUGGCUUUGGGUUCGGGACAACCACUGGAAACGGUGGCUAAUACCGGAUGUGCCGAGAGGUAAAAGAGAAAUUGCCUGAAGAUGAGCUCGCGUCUGAUUAGCUAGUUGGUGAGGUAAAGGCUCACCAAGGCAGCGAUCAGUAGCUGGUCUGAGAGGAUGACCAGCCACACUGGGACUGAGACACGGCCCAGACUCCUACGGGAGGCAGCAGUGGGGAAUUUUCCGCGAUGGGCGAAAGCCUGACGGAGCAAUACCGCGUGAGGGAAGAAGGCUCUUGGGUUGUAAACCUCUUUUCUUAGGGAAGAACAAAAUGACGGUACCUAAGGAAUCAGCAUCGGCUAACUCCGUG